CUUCGGUGAUGAUACGAUGACGAGUCAGAAGGGAUGUCCUUGUGUCACCGCAGCCUGUUCAGUGCCACGUUCUGUGGUGCUGUGCUAAGGCUGCCUUGGACAGGAUGUCCUGUUCGUUGGAUGAUUUAGAGGCAUUUGUCUGAGAAGG
This 148-nucleotide small nucleolar RNA is filed under the name Nipponia nippon (crested ibis). Lineage: Eukaryota; Metazoa; Chordata; Aves; Pelecaniformes; Threskiornithidae. The record is from RNAcentral.